Molecule: long non-coding RNA, 625 nt
Filed under: Lathyrus oleraceus (garden pea)
Lineage: Eukaryota; Viridiplantae; Streptophyta; Magnoliopsida; Fabales; Fabaceae
Description: Pisum sativum (pea) long non-coding RNA (PSAT_LNC041276)
Source: RNAcentral
AAUAAUAGUAAUAAUAAUGAUAAUAAGGAUAAUAUAAUUAUAAAAAAUUAAAUAAAUAAAACAAAAUAACAAAACAAAAUAUAAAAAAGAAGAGAGAAAGAAAAGUUCGUAUAAAUGUCCCAGAGAGAGAGAGAGAGUUUAUCCCAUUAAUUUUUGAAGAAAACCAACCCGCGGAUGACAUGUGGCAUAGAGGAAAAUGUCAAAAUUAUAACACAAUAUACUCUUCUUCUUUUUUACGUGUUUAUUAUUACAGUAAGAACACAAACUUUUCUUCAUCAUUUUUUUCUUUAAAACAAUCAUUUCUUUUUAUUCUCAAAUCACAAUAAAUAACUUCUUAAAUAUCAAACACACAAAUUUUUUUGCGUUACAAUAACACAACAAUAAAAAUGAAGAAAUAAUAUACCGAUCAAAGAUUUCACAGCAGCUCCUAUAAUAACGGCGAGAAGAGGAUUCGAUGACAGCGGUGGCUUCUGUUGGUUGUCGGCGGAGUGAGUUUUUUUGAGGUUUUGAUGGCUGUUUGGAGAUGAUAUAGUGAAGAGGGUGUGCCGGUUUUGGUUUUGGUCGGAGUUAAUGUCAAGGGUGGCUUCCGCAUACGGUUUCGUAGCAACAGUGAGAAGGAGUGAAA